This 430-nucleotide ribosomal RNA is filed under the name uncultured bacterium. Its description in RNAcentral is "partial 16S ribosomal RNA". It matches the Rfam family "Bacterial small subunit ribosomal RNA", at positions 354 to 796 of the family's 1533-position model. The record is from RNAcentral.
GUGGGGAAUAUUGCACAAUGGGCGCAAGCCUGAUGCAGCAACGCCGCGUGAGGGAUGACGGCCUUCGGGUUGUAAACCUCUUUUAGUAGGGAAGAAGCGAAAGUGACGGUACCUGCAGAAAAAGCACCGGCUAACUACGUGCCAGCAGCCGCGGUAAUACGUAGGGUGCAAGCGUUGUCCGGAAUUAUUGGGCGUAAAGAGCUCGUAGGCGGCUUGUCGCGUCUGCUGUGAAAACCCGAGGCUCAACCUCGGGCCUGCAGUGGGUGCGGGCAGGCUAGAGUGCGGUAGGGGAGAUUGGAAUUCCUGGUGUAGCGGUGGAAUGCGCAGAUAUCAGGAGGAACACCGAUGGCGAAGGCAGAUCUCUGGGCCGUAACUGACGCUGAGGAGCGAAAGCAUGGGGAGCGAACAGGAUUAGAAACCCGUGUAGUCC